AAUGGACGAAAGUCUGACGCAGCGACGCCGCGUGGGGGAUGAAGGUCUUCGGAUUGUAAACCCCUUUCGGGAGGGAAGAUGGAGUGGGUAACCACUUGGACGGUACCUCCAGAAGCAGCCACGGCUAACUUCGUGCCAGCAGCCGCGGUAAUACGAAGGUGGCAAGCGUUGUUCGGAUUCACUGGGCGUACAGGGAGCGUAGGCGGUUGGGUAAGCCCUCCGUGAAAUCUCCGGGCCUAACCCGGAAAGUGCAGAGGGGACUGCUCAGCUAGAGGAUGGGAGAGGAGCGCGGAAUUCCCGGUGUAGCGGUGAAAUGCGUAGAGAUCGGGAGGAAGGCCGGUGGCGAAGGCGGCGCUCUGGAACAUUUCUGACGCUGAGGCUCGAAAGCGUGGGGAGCAAA
This 400-nucleotide ribosomal RNA is filed under the name uncultured bacterium. RNAcentral's name for it is "bacterial SSU rRNA". It matches the Rfam family "Bacterial small subunit ribosomal RNA", at positions 370 to 772 of the family's 1533-position model. The record is from RNAcentral.